RNAcentral lists this ribosomal RNA (254 nucleotides) under uncultured bacterium. RNAcentral's name for it is "partial 16S ribosomal RNA". It matches the Rfam family "Bacterial small subunit ribosomal RNA", at positions 524 to 777 of the family's 1533-position model. The record is from RNAcentral.
UACGAAGGUGGCAAGCGUUACUCGGAAUUACUAGGCGUAAAGGGCAGGUAGGCGGUUCGGUUAGUCUGUUGUGAAAGCUCCUUGCUUAACGGGGAGAGGCCAACAGAUACUGCCGAGCUUGAGUAUAGGAGAGGGUACUGGAAUUCCCGGUGUAGCGGUGAAAUGCGCAGAGAUCGGGAGGAACACCAAUGGCGAAAGCAGGUACCUGGACUAUUACUGACGCUCAGCUGCGAAAGCUAGGGGAGCAAACAGGG